Molecule: ribosomal RNA, 468 nt
Filed under: uncultured bacterium
Lineage: Bacteria
Description: partial 16S ribosomal RNA
Rfam family: Bacterial small subunit ribosomal RNA
Source: RNAcentral
GACGAACGCUGGCGGCGUGCUUAACACAUGCAAGUCGAACGGAAAGGCCCUGCUUUUGUGGGGUGCUCGAGUGGCGAACGGGUGAGUAACACGUGAGUAACCUGCCCUUGACUUUGGGAUAACUUCAGGAAACUGGGGCUAAUAUCGGAUAGGAGCUCCUGCUGCAUGGUGGGGGUUGGAAAGUUUCGGCGGUUGGGGAUGGACUCGCGGCUUAUCAGCUUGUUGGUGGGGUAGUGGCUUACCAAGGCUUUGACGGGUAGCCGGCCUGAGAGGGUGACCGGCCACAUUGGGACUGAGAUACGGCCCAGACUGCUACGGGAGGCAGCAGUGGGGAAUAUUGCACAAUGGGCGGAAGCCUGAUGCAGCAACGCCGCGUGCGGGAUGACGGCCUUCGGGUUGUAAACCGCUUUCGCCUGUGACGAAGCGUGAGUGACGGUAAUGGGUAAAGAAGCACCGGCUAACUACGUG